Molecule: transfer-messenger RNA, 427 nt
Filed under: Alphaproteobacteria (a-proteobacteria)
Lineage: Bacteria; Pseudomonadati; Pseudomonadota
Also listed under: 1 other name
Description: RFNJ01 sp009927255 Standard tmRNA
Rfam family: transfer-messenger RNA
About the family: Bacterial tmRNA, also known as 10Sa RNA or SsrA, is named for its dual tRNA and mRNA-like properties. Its role is to liberate the mRNA from a stalled ribosome. To accomplish this part of the tmRNA is used as a reading frame that ends in a translation stop signal.
Source: RNAcentral
GGGGGUGCCCUUGGUUUUGACGGGGCGCAAACUGGCCCGAGGAGCAUGCGGUGAGUGUUGCGUAUCACCUAAAUUCAACGCAGCAAGGCUACAAAUGCCAAAGCGAAAAGCAACGUGAUCGCUUUCCGUCCGCGCACCAGCGCUGGCGCGUUCGCGAUGGCUGCCUAAACCUGUCAUCCCCUUGGAUGGGGAGCAGGCUUAACAGCCCCGAAACCCUGUUUCUGCCGUGUGGCGCGGUAUGGGAGUUUCGGCCAACAAGUUAGCCACUCUAGGGCCUAGCGCGUGCAGCGUGUAACCCAAAAUUUAUCUGCACAAUCACCUGUAAGCGGGCCGCUGGGCCAGCAGGUGAAUCUUGCCAGCGGCUGAGCAUGGAGAGCCUCACUGGAAUGCGUUUCGGACGCGGGUUCGAAUCCCGCCACCUCCACCA